Molecule: transfer RNA, 73 nt
Filed under: Myotis davidii
Lineage: Eukaryota; Metazoa; Chordata; Mammalia; Chiroptera; Vespertilionidae
Rfam family: tRNA
About the family: Transfer RNA (tRNA) molecules are approximately 80 nucleotides in length. Their secondary structure includes four short double-helical elements and three loops (D, anti-codon, and T loops).
Source: Rfam by way of RNAcentral
GGCUUGGUAGCUCAGUUGGUCAGAGCAUUGUCCUAAAAUGGCAAGAUGAUGGGUUUGAUUCCCAUUCAGGGCA